This 500-nucleotide unclassified non-coding RNA is filed under the name uncultured Glomus. Its description in RNAcentral is "SSU rRNA". It matches the Rfam family "Eukaryotic small subunit ribosomal RNA", at positions 591 to 1092 of the family's 1831-position model. Lineage: Eukaryota; Fungi; Glomeromycota; Glomeromycetes; Glomerales; Glomeraceae. The record is from RNAcentral.
CCAAUAGCGUAUAUUAAAGUUGUUGCAGUUAAAAAGCUCGUAGUUGAAUUUCGGGAUCAGUACGCUGGUCAUGCCUUUGGUAUGCACUGGUGUCACUGGUUUCUCCCUUCUGAAGAUCCGUGAUGUCAUUAAUUUGGUGUCGCGGGGAAUCAGGACUGUUACUUUGAAAAAAUUAGAGUGUUUAAAGCAGGCUCACGCUUGAAUACAUUAGCAUGGAAUAAUGAAAUAGGACGUUUGACCCUAUUUUGUUGGUUUCUAGGAUCGACGUAAUGAUUAAUAGGGAUAGUUGGGGGCAUUAGUAUUCAAUUGUCAGAGGUGAAAUUCUUGGAUUUAUUGAAGACUAACUACUGCGAAAGCAUUUGCCAAGGAUGUUUUCAUUAAUCAAGAACGAAAGUUAGGGGAUCGAAGACGAUCAGAUACCGUCGUAGUCUUAACCAUAAACUAUGCCGACUAGGGAUCGGAUGAUGUUAAUUUUUUAAUGACUCAUUCGGCGCCUUACA